Small nuclear RNA from Mustela putorius furo (domestic ferret), 103 nucleotides. The record is from Ensembl. NCBI's taxonomy places the organism in Eukaryota, Metazoa, Chordata, Mammalia, Carnivora, Mustelidae.
AUGUGGAUGUCCUCGCACAUGUGCUAAAAUUAGAACGAUACAGAGAUUAGCGUGGCUGCUGUGUGAGGAUGACAUGCAAAUUUGUGAAGCAUUCUCUAUUUUU